This 989-nucleotide long non-coding RNA is filed under the name Homo sapiens (human). RNAcentral's name for it is "HSALNT0068221". Lineage: Eukaryota; Metazoa; Chordata; Mammalia; Primates; Hominidae. The record is from RNAcentral.
GGGUACUUUCAGUCCCAGUUACUUGGGAGGCUGAGGCAUGAGAAUCGCUUGAACCCGGGAGGCAGAGGUUGCAGUGAGUGGAGAACUACACUCCAGUUUGUGUGACAGAACAAGACUGUCUCAAAAUAAAUAAAUAAAUAAAUAAAUGAAAGCAAACCUUGAUAGCAGUGGCGCCUGGUGGCUCAUGCCUUUAAAUCCCAGCGCUUUGGCGGUGGGGCGAGGUGUGAGGAUCGUUUGAGUCUAGGAGUUCAAUACCAGCCUGGGCAACACAGCAAGACACUCAUCUCUACAAAAAAAAAUUAAAAAUUAGCCAAGUGUGGUGGCGCACCUGUUGCCCUAGCUACUGGGGAGGCUGAGGUGGGAAGAAAAUUGCUUGGGUCCUGGAGUUGGAGGCUGCAGUGAGCUAUGAUUGUGCCACUGUACUCCAGCCUGGGGGACACAGCGACGCUCUGUCUCUAAAAAACACAAAGCCAACCAAAAAAUAAAACCCAGACUGCAGGCACCCCCAGAAGUAACACAUUCUGAUCUUGGCCCAGGAUGUGGCCUGGGCAUCUGUUCCUGUGGAAGGUGGCUGCAGUCUGCAGGCCAGUAGGUCUGGGAGCUGCCUUCCCCUCUCUCCUCAGGCCCCAGAGCCCAUGUGCAGCGGUGUGGUUUGGGAGCAGGUGCUGUUUGAAAAGUCCUGUGUCCGAAUUUUCAUGAUUUGUAGGUUAGCCUAAGAAUAUAGUUAGUUGAGGUUGGUGAAAAUUGACACUUCAUUACGGUUCAUGUCAGGACGUCAGAGGAAAAGGACGUGGACCGAGUGGGUCUGGAGGCCGCAUCCGGCUGAGAGCGCUGGCUGUUGCCACAGUUGGGGGUUUCCAGUUAGGCCCAGAAACUACAUUUGGGGAUGAAAGCUCCAGAUGGAAUGGAGGAAAGGCCCUUACCGGGACAUGCACCUGGGUCUGUGCUGUGUAACUGCACGUACUGAUGUGAUUUGUUGGGCACCUGCC